Molecule: non-coding RNA, 1410 nt
Organism: Callorhinus ursinus (northern fur seal)
Lineage: Eukaryota; Metazoa; Chordata; Mammalia; Carnivora; Otariidae
Source: RefSeq, a predicted model, not a curated record
CUCUGUUUUCCAAGCUGUGCCUCCUUCCCGCCUCUCCUGACUUCCUCCUGGAAGGAAGAUCCCUGAGCAGUCCGUUAAGACCGCUUUGGGGCAGAGGAUUUGGAGAAACCCAGGGCUGAAGUUACCUUUUUUCCUUCUUUCAGCUCUACCUCGGCAUCUCUCUCCAUGGCAGUUCCGGAGACCCACCCCAACCACACUAUUUAUAUCAACAUUCUCAACGAGAAGAUCAAGAAGGAUGAGCUGAAGAAGUCCCUCUACGCCAUCUUCUCCCAGUUUGGCCAGAUCCUGGAUAUCCUGGUUUCCCGAAGCCUGAAGAUGAAGGGCCAGGCAUUUGUCAUUUUCAAGGAGGUCAGCAGCGCCACCAAUGCCCUGCGCUCCAUGCAGGGUUUCCCCUUCUACGACAAGCCCAUGCGCAUUCAGUAUGCCAAGACUCACUCGUAUAUCAUUGCCAAGAUGAAGGGCACCUUCGUGGAGCGGGACCACAAACGGGAGAAGAGGAAGCCCAAGAGCCAGGAGACCCCAGCGGCCAAGAAGGCCGUACAGGGUGGGACAGCCGCCCCCGUGGUGGGGGCUGUCCAGGGGCCUGUCCCAGGCAUGCCCCCGAUGACCCAGGCGCCCCGCAUCAUGCACCACAUGCCUGGCCAGCCUCCCUACAUGCCGCCUCCUGGCAUGAUCCCACCUCUAGGCCUGGCUCCUGGCCAGAUCCCGCCAGCUUAUGCCGGGGCAGGUGCCGCCUGCUCAGCCUCUUUCAGAAAAUCCACCAAAUCACAUCUUAUUCCUCACCAACUUGCCCGAGGAGACCAACGAGCUCAUGCUGUCCAUGCUUCUCAACCAGUUCCCUGGCUUCAAGGAGGUCCAACUGGUCCCUGGGCGGCACGACAUUGCCUUUGUGGAAUUUGACAAUGAGGUACAGGCAGGGGCUGCUCGUGACGCACUGCAGGGCUUCAAGAUCACCCAGAACAAUGCCAUGAAGAUCUCCUUUGCCAAGAAGUAGCACAUUUUCCCCCUGCCUGCCCCUGCCCCCUGUUCUGGGGCCACCCCUUCCCCCCCUUGGCUCAGCCCCCUGAAGUUCAAGGAUGCCAAAGACCCAACAUAUACCCUGAGGGAAGCAACAAGGGAGAAAGCGUCCUGCCCCAAAGGUCAUACCCUAACAUCAAGUUAUUGCCCAUCAGGACUUCUGGACAUACCCCAGAGUUUCCUGAUCUCUACCACUUCCAGCACUCUACAGAUGGCCACAAUGACUAAAUGAUGGAACAACUAUAUCUUUGCGAGAUACCAUAUUCAAAUACACCAGGUACAGUGAGUUGCAGCUAACAUCAAGACUUGGGUACCAAAUUUUAAACAUUACAGAAGAUGCAUCCUUUUGUUCCCAAAAGGCAGAAUAAGACAUAUAUAAAACUUCAGGUGAUU